AUUGAACGCUGGCGGCGUGCUUAACACAUGCAAGUCGAUCGGUAACAGGUGUAGCAAUACAUGCUGACGAGAGGCGGACGGGUGAGUAAUGCUUGGGGAAUCUGCCUAUUAGUGGGGGACAACCCGGGGAAACUCGGGCUAAUACCGCAUACGCUCUACGGAGGAAAGCCGGGGACCGCAAGGCCUGGCGCUAAUAGAUGAGCCCAAGUCGGAUUAGCUAGUUGGUAGGGAACGGCCUACCAAGGCGACAAUCCGUAGCUGGUCUGAGAGGACGACCAGCCACACCGGAACUGAGACACGGUCCGGGACUCCUACGGGAGGGCAGCAGUGGGGAAUAUUGGACAAUGGGGCGAACCCUGAUCCAGCGACGCCGCGUGGGUGAAGAAGGCCUGCGGGUUGUAAAGCCCUUUCGGUGGGGAAGAAAAGUCUCGACCUAAUACGUCGGG
RNAcentral lists this ribosomal RNA (446 nucleotides) under uncultured bacterium. Its description in RNAcentral is "bacterial SSU rRNA". It matches the Rfam family "Bacterial small subunit ribosomal RNA", at positions 29 to 472 of the family's 1533-position model. The record is from RNAcentral.